This is a long non-coding RNA of Zingiber officinale, 277 nucleotides long. RefSeq lists it as uncharacterized. The transcript has 3 exons. The record is from RefSeq and is a predicted model, not a curated record. NCBI's taxonomy places the organism in Eukaryota, Viridiplantae, Streptophyta, Magnoliopsida, Zingiberales, Zingiberaceae.
CGUAGUAGUAUUCAGAUUUCUUCAUAGAGGAGGUUACAGGUCUGGUUUAAGGGGUAAGUUUCAGCUAGCGCUAUUUGCCGACAAUUCACAGUUCAGUCCAUCAUUUCUGGAAGCCACUUUCCUCAGUUGUGAGUCCACAAAGGAGGCUUCCUAUUAGGGAUACUAGUCGGAGACACAUCUCGACGUGGCAAUAUUUAUCACUAUCGGCAGAUAAAGGUGGGUACUUCUUGCUUUAUCUCUUUAGUAUUUUGAUCCUAGUGCAUGAGCUUUAUGUUCA